RNAcentral lists this non-coding RNA (45 nucleotides) under Schistosoma mansoni. The record is from RNAcentral. Lineage: Eukaryota; Metazoa; Platyhelminthes; Trematoda; Strigeidida; Schistosomatidae.
AUCCAGUUAACGAGUUCCAAACAGUACGAAACACGCGUCCUGAAU